This 497-nucleotide ribosomal RNA is filed under the name uncultured bacterium. Its description in RNAcentral is "bacterial SSU rRNA". It matches the Rfam family "Bacterial small subunit ribosomal RNA", at positions 28 to 511 of the family's 1533-position model. The record is from RNAcentral.
GAUGAACGCUAGCUACAGGCUUAACACAUGCAAGUCGCGGGGUAACAUCUGGUAGAGCUUGCUCUUCCAGGAUGACGACCGGCGCACGGGUGAGUAACGCGUAUCCAACCUGGCCCAUACCACGGGAUAGCCCGUCGAAAGGCGGAUUAAUACCGUAUGCUGUCAUUAAGAUGCAUAUAUUGAUGACGAAAGGACUGGCGGUAUGGGAUGGGGAUGCGUCUGAUUAGCUUGUUGGCGGGGUAACGGCCCACCAAGGCGACGAUCAGUAGGGGUUCUGAGAGGAAGGUCCCCCACAUUGGAACUGAGACACGGUCCAAACUCCUACGGGAGGCAGCAGUGAGGAAUAUUGGUCAAUGGGCGCAAGCCUGAACCAGCCAAGUAGCGUGAGGGAAGACUGCCCUACGGGUUGUAAACCUCUUUUGUCGGGGAGUAACGUGCGGGACGGGUCCCGUAUUGAGAGUACCCGAAGAAAAACGCAUCGGCUAACUCCGUGCCAG